GAGGCCAGGGCAGGUGUCAGAGCAAUUUUGUCCUGUUCGCUAUGGCACCACAGUCUGCUGGGUGCCAUACUAAAUAAAGUCAGCCUGGAAUAGCCCCCAGAUCUAGCACAGCCUCUGUCUGUUAUAUAUCCAGUCAUUAUAUGACCUCAUUGCCUGCACUGCAGUUUUCCUACAGCACAAGGGAAGGAGAGGGGAGACCCAGAGCUCAGGGAGGGGGCAUGGGGAUAGAGGGCAGUCAUCGGGACAUUGCAGUAGUCUUGCAUUGCUGUUUGGUCCAAAAUUAAUUGUGCCUAAAAGCAUAAUUCAAAUAGGGCUGUGUUUCCUUCAGAGAGCUGGGGGAGAGCUUACGUAGGAGUGGAAGUAGCUGGUGGUAGACAUAGGAAAGAAGGUGCUAAGACGGGGCUGGCCGGGAAGGGCUUGUGUCUGUCACCUUGUCAUCUUCCUCUAGAUAAUUUUCACCUUAUAUGCCAUCUACUAGAGAACAGGUAGUAGAAAGAAUGGGUGAAAAUGUGAGCUUUGAGUCAGAUCUGUGUGAUUCAUAACAAUAGAUAUUAGCUAUUAUUAUUAGAAAUAGCUUCUUACAUUGCCCAGCAUAAGCAUUUGAUGUGAUGUUUGACUGUAUAAUGGGGAGUCAGAGGGUUUAGGGUCCAGGGAUAUGUGCUCCAUAAACCCAUGUACUUAAGGCACCACUUCAUCUCCCACGGCUUUUCCGCACUUACACUUGCUAUGUAAGCUCCUCAAGAACUACAUCCGCAUUUCCCCAUCUUCAGCUGCAUUCGUUCCUGUGCAUCCAGGGAAAUGGCAUUUGGACAGAUUACUGAGGGCCCUUAGGGGGCAGAUCCCGAGGCCAUUCUUUGCCUACAUUACUGCACCUCGAUGCUGCUCCUUCCUUCUUCAAGGUCUAGUCUGCCCAGCUCCUGUGGCUCCGGGCUCCUGUUCCCCAUCUAUCCAUUUUCCCACUCAUUUCCUCUCCUUCCUGGGGCCCUCAUCUUUUCACUUUUGAAAUCUCAUUUUCCCCAAGGUUCUGCCCUCUCUUUCCCCUUUUCUUUCUAUACAAUUGCUGGGUGGUCCCAGCUGAUUUCAUGCCUGUGGCUCCCACGGCUCGUAGGAUCAGCUCCUGCUCUGAGCCUCAGAUCCCCUCAGCCACGUGUCUCUAAGGAAGGGUGGGGGCACCACCCUGAAUGACCCUGCCCCCUGGGCCACAACUGAAUGGCCCAGCAAUGGGCACCCACGAAAGCCAGGCCAAUCUCAGGUCUUCUGAGGACGACUUUCCUUUUCACCAAGACUCAGGAAGGGAGUGAGGCUUUCUGUGGGAGUGAAACCCACAGAGGGUCAUCUCGGGAGAUGUCGCUGGCCGUGUUUCCUUCCUCCUGGAGGAAGCCGUGUCCGAGGAGAGAUACUAGGGCUCAUGGAGGAGAAAGGAGGGAGAGGCCAGGGCACAUUCCAUCGCCUGGCCCCAGUGUUCCCAGGGCUGAACAACAUCCUUGUCUUCCCCACGGACUGCCUUCUAAUUAUAGGUGAUACCCUCGUAUUCUUUCAAAAUAUGCCCCCUUUUGCCUAAAUGUGUUGUAGGGAGGUUUCUGACACCUGCCACUGAGUGAGGUAGGUUCUAAGCACACAGAGGUCCACCUACGGAGUCAGGAGGAUUGGAUUUGCGUCCAACGCUGGCACUCACUGGCCAGAGUCAUUGGGCAAGCCCCACACCCUGAGCCUCAGUUUCCCCAUUUAUGUAAUGGGAGCAGUAAAAUCUACAUGCCUGGCAUGUACGGCCCUAAGGGGAUUAACUGAUCAUAUAUUCAAGUACCACUCAUAUCAUAAAACACCUCAGAAGUGUGAAGUGUAAGAAGUGCAUGAUUUAUUUGAAAACUUUUAGAAGCCAUUUGUAUUUUCAGUGUGACUCUCCAUUUGGGGGCGUGAGCAUCCCAGCAGCUCGGUUGCAGCUGGCUGUGGACCCAGGGCAGGAAGGUGGGUGCUGACUGCCUUGCCCCCACAGGUGGAGUGUUCAUGCCCAGUGGGGUCGGGCCUGGCAGCAUCUGCAGGGAAGGGUCAGAAGCCAGGGAGACGGCAAGUCCCAUAGCUACCUGCUUUGGGAUUGUAUUCAGGUGUCCACGAGGCAGUAGCCAGUCUAAGGGGCCAGGAGCAAGACCCACGGGAAACAGUGGAAAGAUGGAACACCUCAAUCCGGGAUGGGUCAGAAGGGACCUGAGGACCAUCUGUUGCUCUUAGCAUGCACACCUGCUGUUUCAUUCUGGACUUGGGGUUGAGAAAGCAGAAUUCUAGUCUCUACUUUACUUCUAACUUACUGGACAAGACAGGUCAUUUUUCUUCUGAGUCUCAGUUUCCCCAUUUCUUAAAUUGGGAAUGGAGUGGGACGAGAGGGGCAGCCACAGUCACACCUCAUAUCUGUAACACCUUCACAGUUCAUGCACAUUGUCACUUUUCCUCCUCAUAAAAUCAAAAGACACAUAUUACUAAUCCCAUUUCAUAGAUGGCUAGUAAAGGUCAGAGAUGGCACUUGCCCUGAGGUCUCUUUCCAUGCUAAGAUCCUUCCAAUAGUAAAGCCCUGUGGUUCUCCUACCACCGUUUAAUAGAGUAUUCUUGAACCCCUACUGUGUGCAGGGAGCAGGGGUACAAAGGGGCUUCAACAUGGUGUAGAGUCAUUUGUCUGCCUGUCCCACCUUUCCCACUAGCUUGUCAUCUCCUUGAGAGCAACCCAGGCCAGCCUCUUCACUGCGUCCCUCAAACCAGAACUGUGCCUCAUCCUCUGGAUAAACAACAAACAAAGAUACAAUAACAAGCCACAUGCAACAAGUAUGUGUUGAGAAUCCAGCCUGGAGUCAGAACUUGGCUUGGGCUGUGGAGAAGGCUUCUUGGGCUCUUCGGUUUACUGCGAGAACACUGUUUUUUUUCCCCCCUUCUUAGCUCCAGAGACACUUUCAGCCUUGUGAGGUGCAAUCAUCGAUCAACAUUUACUCUCCAGAUACUGCCCGGUGCCAGACCCAACAGGAUGCACUUUAUCAACCUCUUAAUUUAGUUUAUGUUUCAGGCAGGAGUCAUACAAGGAAUCUAUUAAAUUCCUGCUACUGCUUCUUUUUGGAAAAACAACUUUCAAUCACAAACGUAGAAAGGCCUGUUCAGGAGACCAAAAGAUCGGUGAGAACAAUGCUUGAUGAAAACAGAAGUAGUCACAGGGAAUGGGGCUCUGUCCAAGCCUUGUGGCUUAGAGACAGACAGCACCUGGUGAUGAGACACACGUGGGUUCUGGAAUCCAGCGGCCAGCAUUUGAAUCCUGACCUUCUCGCUCAUUAAAACUCACGCCGACACUUAACCUCCACUUCUUCCGUAACUGGAGCUGAGAGUAUUCCCAGAGAAAUUCCCACUAGUGCCCUUGGCCACAGACACACGUCGAGAUGACUGUGAGGGCCGCCCCCACGGGGACUGUGACGGCCACUAGCCAGAAAUGCGCAUUAAUAAGGAAAGAACUAAAGAGCUGAUAAAAUAUGGGAUCUGGAAAUGAAGGGAAAGUCCACAUCAUUAGGAAGAAUGAGCUUCCCGGAAGGAUUUUAGAAUUUGACGUUUAGCUGAAAAAGCAGCUGAAUGUGAUGCUGAUCAAUUCAAAAUACAACCUGGUAAGAGGCCCUGGCCAGGAGAGGGGCCCAAAGAGUGGGUGCUGGCAGCGCAGAGCCUUAUGGGCUGGGCUGGGAGCCGUAUGUGAAAUCUUGGUGCUGGGGAGAUGCUUGGGAUUCUGUUCCUACAUCUUAAGACUAAAGGAGCUGAAGAAGGAGAGACCAGAGAUGGGGUCUCCAUCAGAGAUGAUCAUGGUUGUCCCACCUUCCCUGCCACCAGGGACAGUCUGCAGGCAGAGGACGCCGACCCUCACUGGGAUCUUCCUUUAUUUAUUUAGCUUGAGAACUAAAGUUUUUGAAAAAUCAAGAAGCCAUGUAGUAGCACGAGCGAGACGGAGGGAGGAAGAAAAAAGGAGAAGCGAGAACUUGCCGGUACCUGCAGGCGAGGAAUGAUCCAUCGAGGCUGGAUGGCUGUUUGCAGGGUCUUCCUGCUCCUCUGCCUCCCAGGCCAUUUUGCUGUGAGCAUCCCCAGAAUCUUAAACGGCACGGUGGGAGGGACUCUGGGGAUGAAGUGCCGGUACAGUGCGGGAGAAGAGGGCCACAGAAAGUUCUGGUGCCGAGGGCCCAACUGGAAAGACUGUGUCCGAGUCAUUGAAACGACACAGAGAGCUGGACAGAAGGUGAGGCACGGCCGCUUGACCCUCCAAGACAGCCCCAGAGAGCACUUCUUCCUCGUGAUCAUGGAGGACCUGGAGGAGGGAGACGCAGACACGUACUGGUGUGGGGUGAACAGGGGCACAGGAGUCCCCCAGGCCCCAGCGGCAGUGACUGUUUUUCCAGGGCUGGAAACUUUCCUUCAGUGUCAGCCCUCCGUCUGGAGGAUCUGGAGGGGUCAGUGACAUGGCCUGAUGUUCAAGAACAGAAGCAUUUCUGUUUCCAAACUUCGUGGGUAAAAAUGAAGGCACCCACCGGGGCACACUUGAAGCAGUUCUUCAAGCUACCAACAGAUGGCAAUAGCGGUCAAUCGCAGAACUUCAUUACUGACAUUUUAAAGGACUUCUCUCUUCUGGCAGGAUUGCUUUUGCUACUGGGUCCCUCCUGGCUGAUUUAAAUAUCCCCCGUCUACAGCAAGUGUUAGAAGUAGACCCAUUGAAUCCUGAUGGCUUUUCCAAGCUGAGUCCAAACUGGUCCGUGGCCCCAGCCCAAUACCAUUCAUCAGCCUGAGCGAGCCCAUUAGGAAUUACCUUGGCUCUUGGGGCCAACCAGACAUGCACUCAACAUUCUGGGGGCCAGAGUCGAAGGUGCAACCAGGGAUCUGGACCCCAAUAGGCAGCUCAGACCGGAGUAAGUCAAGGCCCUAAAGACCUGUGCCCAGGAAAGAGGACAGAACCAGGAUGAAUGACAAGGAUGCAUCCGAUUCCAGCCCAAGGCUUCAGCUUUAUUGAGAAGCAGAAGCCACACCACGUGGCUCUUCUGAAUUUCUUAUAUUGUUGGAAAAUCCAAUCCGGAGCAAUUUCCCUGCAUGUUAGACAAGAUCUCAACCCGGAAAAGUGUUCUUGACUCUGAUUGAGGAAGAAUUCACAAGUAAAUUGAGCAAGGACAAGCCCCCAGUAGGCAGAAGGACACACCCAGGGAGGGAAUGUGGGUAUACAACCCAGAUGGUCUGCCUCGGGAAUGUGAUGGUGCCAAGAGGUGUGACUUUCAGUAUGCUAGUGAGCGUGUAAUGCAUUUGGAGGUGAAACCAGGGUCAGCUUCUUCUCCUGGCUGGAACCAGCCAGUUUUGGCAAGUCUGGUGUCUAUACCUUUUCCCCCUACAUCCCUGGAGAAGAGUUUACAAGGAAUGUUUAGAAUAUAACAAGCAUCUAGCCAAAUGAAAACACUGGCCAAAGUGCCCAGCCCCCUCCCUGCCCCUGUCUGGCUACCUACUGUAGCACUUACUCCCUGGAAGAGGUAGAGACACCCAGUGCCCCCGAUGCCCCCUACUGGACAUGUCCAGCUAGCUUGGAACUUGGUGUGGUGACAACUGCCAGUUUCCUCUUACCGCCCACGGACGCAGGAAGCAGCUCUUUGAAGGACUAUGAUCAAUGUUACGAAAGGUCUGAGGAAAGGCAGCUGUGGGGAUGAGAAACAAGGAGACGGAGGUGCAGAGGCCAAGAGAGACGAGCAGAGAUGGGGCAGGGGGUGACGGGGAAGGUCUGUCCUGCGUGUGCUCAGAGAGGUCUGAGUUUGGCCCUGAACUACCAUCCCCUGAACAGCCUAAAAAUUAGUCUUAAACAUUAUCUCUUAGUGGAACUAUCCACCCAAAAACAGGGCUGUAUUGACAGAAAUGUUUAUUCUGUGUAUUUAUACAUGUGUUUUACCCCUAUUAAAACACCAAUCAAUUAGAAUUUUAAUCCAUAAUCCAAUAAUCGUUUCUCUGCCCAAUUAAUUAUAUACUUUACGGCCAUCUAUGUAUCCAAAAGCUUAUUUGUGAACUUCACGAAUUUAAAAUACACCGUAAUUUUUGCAACCCUACUAUGGCGCCCCUCUUUUGUUAAGAUGUUGAGAGCUUCAAACAAUAAAAGUGUCCCAGGCCCUCUGGACCUCAAAUGAUUCCAGCCCAAGGGCAGGCAGUAACAUUGGGCUUUGACUUUAUCUUUGCAUAAUUAUUUUUUCCCUUGCAAAAGAGAGGCCCAGGCCCCUCUGUGGAUUGUCCCCACGCUGUUCGGUGCUCGGCUCGCUGACCUCUUAGACUUUUCCCUCUACGCUUUUCUAUAGCAGUGUAACUCCAGGGGGAAAAUUAUGGGGCAAAAUACCUUUGGAACCGAUAUCAGUCAAAGGGAAAAACCCAUU
Non-coding RNA from Manis javanica (Malayan pangolin), 6398 nucleotides. Lineage: Eukaryota; Metazoa; Chordata; Mammalia; Pholidota; Manidae. The record is from RefSeq and is a predicted model, not a curated record.